AAUGCUGUAUUAAGUAAUAACAAGAAAUAUAUCUCCUCUACUUUUUCCUGACGCGGAGUUGUACUGCCUAUGAUGCAUAAUUUGAUCGCAGUGUGAUCAAAAGACAUCAGCUAUAAUGUCUUAAUAAUAUUAUUAUGAAGAGUUUACCUUUUUACU
RNAcentral lists this small RNA (156 nucleotides) under Oryza sativa Japonica Group (Japanese rice). Its description in RNAcentral is "Os01g0639900". The record is from RNAcentral. Lineage: Eukaryota; Viridiplantae; Streptophyta; Magnoliopsida; Poales; Poaceae.